RNAcentral lists this ribosomal RNA (541 nucleotides) under uncultured bacterium. RNAcentral's name for it is "bacterial SSU rRNA". It matches the Rfam family "Bacterial small subunit ribosomal RNA", at positions 8 to 526 of the family's 1533-position model. The record is from RNAcentral.
AGAGUUUGAUCCUGGCUCAGAACGAACGCUGGCGGCGUGCUUAACACAUGCAAGUCGAACGUGAUCCAGAGCUUGCUCUGGUGAAAGUGGCGCACGGGUGAGUAACGCGUGGAUAACCUGCCCUGGUAUCUGGGAUAACAUCUCGAAAGGGGUGCUAAUACCGGAUAAGCCUACGGGGUCCUCGGACUCUGCAGGAAAAGGUGGCCUCUAUUUAUAAGCUACCGUAUCAGGAUGGGUCCGCGUACCAUUAGCUAGUUGGUGGGGUAAUGGCCCACCAAGGCGACGAUGGUUAGCUGGUCUGAGAGGAUGAUCUGCCACACUGGAACUGAGACACGGUCCAGACUCCUACGGGAGGCAGCAGUGGGGAAUUUUGCGCAAUGGGCGAAAGCCUGACGCAGCAACGCCGCGUGAGUGAUGAAGGCUUUCGGGUCGUAAAGCUCUGUCAAUGGGAAAGAAGUGUAUUGGAGCUAAUAUCUCCGAUACUUGACGGUACCCAUAAAGGAAGCACCGGCUAACUCCGUGCCAGCCGCCGCGGUAAUUC